RNAcentral lists this ribosomal RNA (253 nucleotides) under uncultured bacterium. RNAcentral describes it as "partial 16S ribosomal RNA". It matches the Rfam family "Bacterial small subunit ribosomal RNA", at positions 524 to 776 of the family's 1533-position model. The record is from RNAcentral.
UACGAAGGGGGCUAGCGUUGUUCGGAAUUACUGGGCGUAAAGCGCGCGCAGGCGGUCUUCCAAGUCAGUGGUGAAAGCCCGGAGCUCAACUCCGGAACUGCCAUUGAAACUGUUAGACUUGAGUACGAGAGAGGUGAGUGGAAUUCCCAGUGUAGAGGUGAAAUUCGUAGAUAUUGGGAAGAACACCGGUGGCGAAGGCGGCUCACUGGCUCGUAACUGACGCUCAGGCGCGACAGCGUGGGGAUCAAACAGG